RNAcentral lists this ribosomal RNA (1165 nucleotides) under Rickettsia japonica. Its description in RNAcentral is "bacterial SSU rRNA". It matches the Rfam family "Bacterial small subunit ribosomal RNA", at positions 323 to 1340 of the family's 1533-position model. Lineage: Bacteria; Pseudomonadati; Pseudomonadota; Alphaproteobacteria; Rickettsiales; Rickettsiaceae. The record is from RNAcentral.
AACCCGGCCCAGAUUCCUACGGGAGGCAGCAGUGGGAAUAUUGGACAAUGGGCGAAAGCCUGAUCCAGCAAUACCGAGUGAGUGAUGAAGGCCUUAGGGUUGUAAAGCUCUUUUAGCAAGGAAGAUAAUGACGUUACUUGCAGAAAAAGCCCCGGCUAACUCCGUGCCAGCAGCCGCGGUAAGACGGAGGGGGCUAGCGUUGUUCGGAAUUACUGGGCGUAAAGAGUGCGUAGGCGGUUUAGUAAGUUGGAAGUGAAAGCCCGGGGCUUAACCUCGGAAUUGCUUUCAAAACUACUAAUCUAGAGUGUAGUAGGGGAUGAUGGAAUUCCUAGUGUAGAGGUGAAAUUCUUAGAUAUUAGGAGGAACACCGGUGGCGAAGGCGAUCAUCUGGGCUACAACUGACGCUGAUGCACGAAAGCGUGGGGAGCAAACAGGAUUAGAUACCCUGGUAGUCCACGCCGUAAACGAUGAGUGCUAGAUAUCGGAAGAUUUUCUUUCGGUUUCGCAGCUAACGCAUUAAGCACUCCGCCUGGGGAGUACGGUCGCAAGAUUAAAACUCAAAGGAAUUGACGGGGGCUCGCACAAGCGGUGGAGCAUGCGGUUUAAUUCGAUGUUACGCGAAAAACCUUACCAACCCUUGACAUGGUGGUCGCGGAUCGCAGAGAUGCUUUUCUUCAGCUCGGCUGGAUCACACACAGGUGUUGCACGGCUGUCGUCAGCUCGUGUCGUGAGAUGUUGGGUUAAGUCCCGCAACGAGCGCAACCCUCAUUCUUAUUUGCCAGCGGGUAAUGCCGGGAACUAUAAGAAAACUGCCGGUGAUAAGCCGGAGGAAGGUGGGGAUGACGUCUAGUCAUCAUGAUCCUGGCUCCCAGGCGAACCACGUUGCCGGUGAAGCAACAGUGCGCAUAGCGAACACUGGUUGUGCGAGACGCGGCUUUACAGUUGCUUUGGCAGCAUGUGCGAAUGGAGACAAGCUACCAGCGUUUGUGAUUUUAAAGGAACCGAGCGGCAAGAUACCAGCGAAGGCAUUCAUGAAACUUCGCAUUCCAGGUAAGUGUCAAACAAAUUACGUGUUUGUUUAUUAUGGCUUUCAAAUCAAUACACUUGUUUACAACUAGCAUUGUGCAUUGUUCUUUCUCUGUGGGAGAAUUCCGUAUUUCUAUUA